AGAGUUUGAUCAUGGCUCAGGAUGAACGCUGGCGGCGUGCCUAAUACAUGCAAGUCGAACGCGAAAGGUCUGAAGCCUUCGGGCGGAGGGCCGAGUAGAGUGGCGAACGGGUGAGGAACACGUAGGUGACCUGCCCCGGAGAGGGGGAUAACCGUCGGAAACGGCGGCUAAUACCCCAUAAGCUCACGCGAGUUAGAGGGCGUGUGAGAAAAGCUCCGGCGCUCCGGGAGGGGCCUGCGGCCCAUCAGCUAGUUGGUAGGGUAAAGGCCUACCAAGGCGAAGACGGGUAGGGGGCCUGAGAGGGUGGUCCCCCACAUGGGAACUGAGACACGGUCCCAACUCCUACGGGAGGCAGCAGUAAGGAAUAUUGCACAAUGGGCGCAAGCCUGAUGCAGCAACGCCGCGUGCCCGAGGACGGCCUUCGGGUUGUAAAGGGCUUUUCUGGCUGACGAGGAAGGACGGUAGGCCAGGAAUAAGCGUCGGCUAACUACGUGCCAGCAGCCGCGGUAAAACGUAGGACGCGAGCGUUAUCCGGAUUUACUGGGCGUAAAGCGCGGGCAGGCGGUGGUCCAAGUCGGACGUGAAAGCUCCCGGCUCAACUGGGAGAGGUCGUUCGAAACUGGGCCGCUAGAGGGCAGUAGAGGGGCGUGGAAUUCCGGGUGGAGUGGUGAAAUGCGUAGAGAUCCGGAGGAACACCAGAGGCGAAGGCGGCGCCCUGGGCUGCACCUGACGCUGAGCCGCGAAAGCUAGGGGAGCGAACGGGAUUAGAAACCCCGGUAGUCCUAGCCGUAAACGAUGUCCACUAGAUGUCUGGGCGGAGCGCCUGGGCGUCGCAGCUAACGCGUUAAGUGGACCGCCUGGGGAGUACGGCCGCAAGGCUAAAACUCAAAUGAAUUGACGG
This 901-nucleotide ribosomal RNA is filed under the name uncultured bacterium. RNAcentral describes it as "bacterial SSU rRNA". It matches the Rfam family "Bacterial small subunit ribosomal RNA", at positions 8 to 916 of the family's 1533-position model. The record is from RNAcentral.